RNAcentral lists this ribosomal RNA (427 nucleotides) under uncultured Enterobacteriaceae bacterium. RNAcentral's name for it is "bacterial SSU rRNA". It matches the Rfam family "Bacterial small subunit ribosomal RNA", at positions 355 to 774 of the family's 1533-position model. Lineage: Bacteria; Pseudomonadati; Pseudomonadota; Gammaproteobacteria; Enterobacterales; Enterobacteriaceae. The record is from RNAcentral.
UGGGGAAUAUUGGCACAAUGGGCGCAAGCCUGAUGCAGCCAUGCCGCGUGUAUGAAGAAGGCCUUCGGGUUGUAAAGUACUUUCAGCGGAGGAGGAAGGCAUUAAGGUUAAUAACCUUAGUGAUUGACGUUACCUCGCAGAAGAAGCACCGGCUAACUCCGUGCCAGCAGCCGCGGUAAUACGGAGGGUGCAAGCGUUAAUCGGAAUUACUGGGCGUAAAGCGCACGCAGGCGGUCUGUCAAGUCGGAUGUGGAAUCCCCGGGCUCAACCUGGGAACUGCAUUCGAAACUGGCAGGCUAGAGUCUUGUAGAGGGGGUAGAAUUCCAGGUGUAGCGGUGAAAUUGCGUAGAGAUCUGGAGGAAUACCGGUGGCGAAGGCGGCCCCCUGACAAAGACUGACGCUCAGGUGCGAAAGCGUGGGACAAACA